Molecule: transfer RNA, 71 nt
Filed under: Capra hircus (goat)
Lineage: Eukaryota; Metazoa; Chordata; Mammalia; Artiodactyla; Bovidae
Also listed under: 1 other name
Rfam family: tRNA
About the family: Transfer RNA (tRNA) molecules are approximately 80 nucleotides in length. Their secondary structure includes four short double-helical elements and three loops (D, anti-codon, and T loops). Further hydrogen bonds mediate the characteristic L-shaped molecular structure. tRNAs have two regions of fundamental functional importance: the anti-codon, which is responsible for specific mRNA codon recognition, and the 3' end, to which the tRNAs corresponding amino acid is attached (by aminoacyl-tRNA synthetases). tRNAs cope with the degeneracy of the genetic code in two manners: having more than one tRNA (with a specific anti-codon) for a particular amino acid; and 'wobble' base-pairing, i.e. permitting non-standard base-pairing at the 3rd anti-codon position.
Source: Rfam by way of RNAcentral
UCCCUGGUGGCUUACAGGGUAAACGUCUGCCUGCAAUGCAGGAGACCCAGGUUCAAUCCCUGGGUCGGGAA